CCCUUAGAUGUUCUGGGCUGCACGCGCGCUACACUGAUGCGUUCAACGAGUUUAUGACCUUGCCCGAUAGGGUUGGGUAAUCUUUUUAAAUCGCAUCGUGAUGGGGAUAGAUUAUUGCAAUUAUUAAUCUUCAACGAGGAAUUCCUAGUAAGCGCGAGUCAUCAGCUCGUGCUGAUUACGUCCCUGCCCUUUGUACACACCGCCCGUCGCACCUACCGAUUGAAUGGUCCGGUGAAAUCUCGGGACGGCGGCUUGGUCGCUUGCGUCCGACUGCUGAAACUUGAUUAAACCAUAUCAUUUAGAGGAAGGUGAAGUCGUAACA
RNAcentral lists this ribosomal RNA (322 nucleotides) under uncultured eukaryote. Its description in RNAcentral is "partial 18S ribosomal RNA". It matches the Rfam family "Eukaryotic small subunit ribosomal RNA", at positions 1470 to 1796 of the family's 1831-position model. The record is from RNAcentral.